GGCCUCGUAGCUCAGCUGAAUAGAGCACUUGAUUACGGCUCAAGAGGUCUCAGGUUUGAAUCCUGACGAGGUCA
RNAcentral lists this transfer RNA (74 nucleotides) under Bacteroidota bacterium. Its description in RNAcentral is "Bacteroidetes bacterium (marine metagenome) tRNA-Arg". It matches the Rfam family "tRNA". From Rfam's summary of the family: Transfer RNA (tRNA) molecules are approximately 80 nucleotides in length. RNAcentral also lists the same sequence under 1 other name. The record is from RNAcentral. Lineage: Bacteria; Pseudomonadati; Bacteroidota.